RNAcentral lists this long non-coding RNA (965 nucleotides) under Ananas comosus (pineapple). Its description in RNAcentral is "long non-coding RNA (ACOM_LNC002104)". The record is from RNAcentral. Lineage: Eukaryota; Viridiplantae; Streptophyta; Magnoliopsida; Poales; Bromeliaceae.
UAUUUUUUUCAAAAAUUAAAAUUAAAAUUUAAAAAAUUUAUAAUUUGUAAUAUUAAAAUUAAAAUUUUAUAGUUUUAAAUUCUAAAUUUUAAAUUGAUAUUUUACAUUUUUUAAAUUUAAAAUUGAUAUUUUAGAUUUUUAAAUUUAUAUUUAUUCUUAAAUAUAAAAUUUUAUAUUUAAAAUUUAGAACUUUGACUUUUUAAAUUUGAGAAAUAAAAAUUUAAAGUUAAAUUUUUAAUUUUUAAAAUUUAAAAAUUAGAUAUUUAAAUUUAAAAUUUAAAUAUAAAAUUUAAAUUCAAAUAUUAUAUAAUAGGUAAUAUCAUUAUUUUUUAUUUAUAAAUACCCACUAUNAUAUAAAAUUAGUCUAUUCCAGAUUUAUAUCUGAAUUUAUACUUAUUUCUGAAAUAGACAAUUUUAAUUUAUAUUCGUACACUACAACAAAAACGGUCUAUAGCGACACUUUUAAACGUAGGUACAUGUCAAAAAAGUGCUGCUAGCUAAAAUUACCGACACUUUUAAAAAGUAUUGCUAUAUGUGGGGUCGCUAGGUAUAUAGUGACAGUUAAAGAGUGUCGCUAUAACCUAAAAGAGUGCUACUAAUUUACCAACACUUAUUAAGCAUUUAGAAACCGCCGAAACUCUAUCUCGUUGGCUGCGGUGGCGGAGAAGGACGACAGGAAAGGCUCUUCGUCUAGAAUUUCAGUGGAUUGAGUGAAGAGAGAAGAAAAGAUGAUAAUUGAUUUUUCUUUUUUUUUUUUCUUUUCUGUUUGUAAUCGGACCAAAUGGACUAGGUGUGAUGGGUUGAGUAGAGUAAUCUUUUAUUUUUGAUUGGAUUGGGCUUUAUAUUUAGGCAUUAGUAGAUGCUUUUUUAAGUUUUAGUAUAAAUGAGAAACUUACUAAAAAAUGUUUCAAAUAUGUGUUUCUAUAACCUAAUUCUAUUGUAGUGGUACCAAACGAAACUCUAAG